AAGUCGUAACAAGGUUACCGUAGGUGAACCUGCGGUAGGAUCAUUAACAAAUCCAAGUAGGCGCGGCCAUGCCGCCCUAUACGUGCCGGUGGCGAUGCGCUGUGGCGUUCGCCGCCGUGUUCGAGUGCCUAGCACAAGUAUGUAUGUGAGACUACGAAACGUAAUGGUGGGAACAAAAAACAACUUUUAACAAUGGAUCUCUAGGCUCUU
This 210-nucleotide unclassified non-coding RNA is filed under the name fungal sp. RNAcentral's name for it is "partial internal transcribed spacer region". The stretch from base 1 to 46 matches the Rfam family "Eukaryotic small subunit ribosomal RNA", at positions 1786 to 1831 of the family's 1831-position model. The record is from RNAcentral. Lineage: Eukaryota; Fungi.